CAGAAAGAGUUACUGGUUCUCUUGUGUUGGGAAAGGGUCUCCAAGGUGGUUUAACAGCUCUUUUCUGGAAGCUGUGGAGAAGAUUGAGACCUUCCAAGGAGUAUAACCUGAGACAUUUGGGCAUUUUUAAUGGACAUUCAAGGAUGGCCACCACUUUGCCAGUUUCUUGCAAUGAUGAAGUAAGACCCAUGACUUGGGACAAAGAAGAGCCAACAGAGUUUUUUACAUCACUCAUUUCAACAGUGCACUUUACUUUGUACUCAAGAAAACAUGAGAUGGAGGAAGAUUUACUGCAUGGUAAUGGCCAAGAAGUACCCUGGCCGAGACUGCAAGAUUUCCCAAGGGUUUCCUGCUAUAGCAAGACAAAGAUACCUGCUGGGGCAGGCCAGUAAGGUCACCCCCUGAAGCAAACAGACUAAGGCUAUUAGACUUGCCACAGUAUGCCCAAAGGGGACACUAGCUAGAAGAGGAAAAUGAGGCUUAUACUCGUGGCAGACUGAAACAUCCAGUUUCAGGAUCAAACUUCUGCCUUGGGUUCAAACAUGGAGAAAUGAGGCUUAUGACUUCCUAGCCGAACUCAACUGUAAUUGGUGGACAGGGAUUAAAGCCUACAGGUGAUGCAUUUGAAGAGAGAACUGCAGGCCCAAGUAAAGAGCCCAGAAGAUGUAGGAAGUCAAUGGAGGAUUUGGAGCAGAGGCACAUCCUAGUCUGACUUGUAUUUCAGAAGGAUCUGGCUGCAGAAUGCACAAUGGGGAGUCAGGACUGGAAACAGGGUGACUGGUUUGAAGCCUGUUCCAUCCCUCUAACUGUGAGAAGAUCUUGCUUGAGUUAGUUACUGUGUAGGUGACAAAAAGUACUGGAGUCAGAAUUCUUUUAAAGUUUGACCUCACAGAUUUGCUGAGCACAUGGUAGGAAGUCAAUGGAGGAUUUGGAGCAGAGGCACAUCCUAGUCUGUCUUGCAUUUCAGAAGGAUCUGGCUGGAGAAUGCACAGUAGAGAAUCAGGACUGGAAACAGGGUGACUGACUGGUUUGAAGCCUGUUCCAUCCCUCUAAGUAUGAGAAGAUCUUGCUUGAGAUCUUCUACAAAGAAGCAUUUUUCAAAAUUAACAAAACAAAACAAAACAAAACAAACAAACAAAAAAGAAGCAUUUUUCUUCAUUAACCAGGCAGUUGUAGUAUCAAGAGCAGGAGAGUUCCCUACUGUUUAGACUGUGUAAUAGUAAGCUGCUUUCAGAGAAAGCGAAAGACAUGGAUGAGGAUCCUUUUUCUCCAAAGCUCUGCCAAUUUAAAAAUUAAAACUGGUGGGAAAAUGGGAAUGAACAUUAUGGAGUUUUGUUUCAGAAUCAACUCAACAAGCCACUGGCACUUCAUUUGUUGAUCCUACCUGGAUCUAGGAUUUAUAACAUGUCUGCCAUGUUUGCAACUCCUUGGAUACAGCAUUCUAAAAAGUGUCCAUUCUCUACUUAAUCUUUUUCUGUACCUUCUUUAAAAAUGUUACAAAAAUUAACAGAGUAAGACAGAGUAGGGAUUGCAGUGUAAAUGCUUUGGACAAUCAGGUAACAGCUUUUUUUUUUUUUUUUUUUUUUAAAGGUUGGGUUAACAAUUUCCAUUUUCAAAAUGAGCCCAAAUUGAGUGAGUGAUUCUAAAUUAGCUCUUUAGUUUUUACCUUACGCUGCUGAUAAUGCCACUAUUAAUUUCAAUUAUUUAGAGGCAACAUUAAUACGUGUGAAAAAAGAACAGCGAUAAAGACAGAAAGGAAUAAAUUACUUGCUGCAGGACAGAAUGACAUUUUGACUGGCACAGAGAUUUUUUUUCUCUCACACACUUUGUGCUUUGACAUUUCACUUGGCACAAACAUUUCACAAAUUCUUGACCUAAUCUGAUGUACUGUUGUUUAGCAAUUGCUGACAUGACAUGUUUUAACCUCAAGCUUGCUGGAUUCCAAAUGUUACCUCUUCCUGUCAAUCAGGGUUGGAUGACCUCCAAAAAGCAGUCCAAGCAAAAAUCUAUGUACCUAAGAGGUUAAAUGCAUUUGCCCCAAAUGGAGAAGAGGCAGUUUGAAGUAGGAGUUGGGGGAAGGGCAGGAAGAAUGGUGUCAUUUAGGAAAAUUAUGGGGUGAAAAAAAUGUAGGAGGCAGAUCCUUAGGGAACCCUGAGAUCUGGAGAGAGACAUUAGUCCCAAACAUAGAACCUAGAAAUAAACCUAACAAGACAUACAUAGGGUCUAUAACAACAACAACAAUAACAAAAAUAGUCAACUUAGGAGUAGAAGAGAUUUCAGAUAACAGAGAAAUACAUUAUCUUCCUCAAAGGGAAGAAUGUGUUAUAUAAAAAUGUUGCUCCUUCUCAAAUUGUGGCUAUAACUUGACCAUCUCCCCUUCUCACUGCCUGUUGGUAUGGAAGAGGUUACAUUUAUAUUAAUAUCUGUGCUUUGCUGGUUUAUUAGGUCAUCUGUCUUUUGCAUCCCAAGACUUUAUUAAAAAAUAAGCCAACUCACAUUGCUUUGCUCUGAUCAGUUAGAAAUGCUUUAAAUUUGCAAGUAGAAAAACAACUUUUAGUCCAUGGUUGGUGAACUCCAUUGUGCAGAACAUCAUGG
Long non-coding RNA from Marmota monax (woodchuck), 2595 nucleotides. RefSeq lists it as uncharacterized. The record is from RefSeq and is a predicted model, not a curated record. NCBI's taxonomy places the organism in Eukaryota, Metazoa, Chordata, Mammalia, Rodentia, Sciuridae. The transcript has 4 exons.